GUGUGGACAAUACACAAUUCAUUCAUUAACUCAGAGACAGGCGUGGACAUCACACAAUUCAUUCAUUAACUCAGAGACAGGUGUGGACAAUACACUAUUCAUUCAUUAACUCAGAGACAGGCGUCAGUUAAAGUGGCUCGUCAAUUGGAACACAUGGGAGAGAUACAAGCUAUAACACAAAUAGAUUGUAAAACAUUGAUUCAUUUCUCAAUAUAGUAUGUACUUAUUAUCAGCAUAGUAAUACCCUGUAGGACAUUGGAAAGAGGUGGAAUAGACACCUUGAUCUGCAUCCCAAACGGCACCCUAUUCCCUAAAUGAGGGCACUACUUUUAACCAGAUCCUCUUAUUACACGUAGUGCACUGCGUAUGGGAGUAGGGUGCACUUUGGGACAUAACCCUGUUAUUGUCGUGGUGGUGACUUCCACUCUUCUUCCUGUUGUGAAGGUUUAAUAGCAGAUGGCUUUGAAGGUGAUGUUUACUGAAAGGGUGUAGAACUCCACACCACUUCCCCAUCACACCGUUGUCUAUAGGUAAGUGUUGUGGCUGAAUCCGCUCCCCAUCACACUGUUGUCCAUAGGUAAGUGUUGUGGCUGUAUCUGCUGUCCAUCACAUCGUUGUCUAUAGGUAAGUGUUGUGGCUGUAUCUGCUGUCCAUCACACCGUUGUCUAUAGGUAAGUGUUGUGGCUGAAUCCGCUGUCCAUCACACCGUUGUCCAUAGGUAAGUGUUGUGGCUGAAUCCGCUGUCCAUCACACCGUUGUCCAUAGGUAAGUGUUGUGGCUGUAUGUGCUGUCCAUCACACUGUUGUCCAUAGGUAAGUGUUGUGGCUGAAUCCGCUGUCCAUCACACCGUUGUCCAUAGGUAAGUGUUGUGGCUGAAUCCGCUGUCCAUCACACCGUUGUCCAUAGGUAAGUGUUGUGGCUGUAUCUGCUGUCCAUCACACCGUUGUCUAUAGGUAAGUGUUGUGACUGAAUCCGCUGUCCAUCACACCGUUGUCUAUAGGUAAGUGUUGUGGCUGUAUCUGCUGUCCAUCACACCGUUGUCUAUAGGUAAGUGUUGUGGCUGUAUCUGCUGUCCAUCACACCGUUGUCUAUAGGUAAGUGUUGUGGCUGUAUCUGCUGUCCAUCACAC
This 1129-nucleotide long non-coding RNA is filed under the name Salmo salar (Atlantic salmon). RNAcentral's name for it is "lncRNA (ENSSSAG00000100097.1)". The record is from RNAcentral. Lineage: Eukaryota; Metazoa; Chordata; Actinopteri; Salmoniformes; Salmonidae.